This 1709-nucleotide ribosomal RNA is filed under the name Pseudomonas aeruginosa. Its description in RNAcentral is "bacterial LSU rRNA". It matches the Rfam family "Bacterial large subunit ribosomal RNA", at positions 611 to 2308 of the family's 2925-position model. The record is from RNAcentral. Lineage: Bacteria; Pseudomonadati; Pseudomonadota; Gammaproteobacteria; Pseudomonadales; Pseudomonadaceae.
UAUAAUGGGUCAGCGACUUAUAUUCAGUGGCAAGCUUAACCGUAUAGGGUAGGCGUAGCGAAAGCGAGUCUUAAUAGGGCGUUUAGUCGCUGGGUAUAGACCCGAAACCGGGCGAUCUAUCCAUGAGCAGGUUGAAGGUUAGGUAACACUGACUGGAGGACCGAACCCACUCCCGUUGAAAAGGUAGGGGAUGACUUGUGGAUCGGAGUGAAAGGCUAAUCAAGCUCGGAGAUAGCUGGUUCUCCUCGAAAGCUAUUUAGGUAGCGCCUCAUGUAUCACUCUGGGGGGUAGAGCACUGUUUCGGCUAGGGGGUCAUCCCGACUUACCAAACCGAUGCAAACUCCGAAUACCCAGAAGUGCCGAGCAUGGGAGACACACGGCGGGUGCUAACGUCCGUCGUGAAAAGGGAAACAACCCAGACCGCCAGCUAAGGUCCCAAAGUUGUGGUUAAGUGGUAAACGAUGUGGGAAGGCUUAGACAGCUAGGAGGUUGGCUUAGAAGCAGCCAUCCUUUAAAGAAAGCGUAAUAGCUCACUAGUCGAGUCGGCCUGCGCGGAAGAUGUAACGGGGCUCAAACCACACACCGAAGCUGCGGGUGUCACGUAAGUGACGCGGUAGAGGAGCGUUCUGUAAGCCUGUGAAGGUGAGUUGAGAAGCUUGCUGGAGGUAUCAGAAGUGCGAAUGCUGACAUGAGUAACGACAAUGGGUGUGAAAAACACCCACGCCGAAAGACCAAGGGUUCCUGCGCAACGUUAAUCGACGCAGGGUUAGUCGGUUCCUAAGGCGAGGCUGAAAAGCGUAGUCGAUGGGAAACAGGUUAAUAUUCCUGUACUUCUGGUUACUGCGAUGGAGGGACGGAGAAGGCUAGGCCAGCUUGGCGUUGGUUGUCCAAGUUUAAGGUGGUAGGCUGAAAUCUUAGGUAAAUCCGGGGUUUCAAGGCCGAGAGCUGAUGACGAGUCGUCUUUUAGAUGACGAAGUGGUUGAUGCCAUGCUUCCAAGAAAAGCUUCUAAGCUUCAGGUAACCAGGAACCGUACCCCAAACCGACACAGGUGGUCGGGUAGAGAAUACCAAGGCGCUUGAGAGAACUCGGGUGAAGGAACUAGGCAAAAUGGCACCGUAACUUCGGGAGAAGGUGCGCCGGCUAGGGUGAAGGAUUUACUCCGUAAGCUCUGGCUGGUCGAAGAUACCAGGCCGCUGCGACUGUUUAUUAAAAACACAGCACUCUGCAAACACGAAAGUGGACGUAUAGGGUGUGACGCCUGCCCGGUGCCGGAAGGUUAAUUGAUGGGGUUAGCGCAAGCGAAGCUCUUGAUCGAAGCCCCGGUAAACGGCGGCCGUAACUAUAACGGUCCUAAGGUAGCGAAAUUCCUUGUCGGGUAAGUUCCGACCUGCACGAAUGGCGUAACGAUGGCGGCGCUGUCUCCACCCGAGACUCAGUGAAAUUGAAAUCGCUGUGAAGAUGCAGUGUAUCCGCGGCUAGACGGAAAGACCCCGUGAACCUUUACUGUAGCUUUGCACUGGACUUUGAGCCUGCUUGUGUAGGAUAGGUGGGAGGCUUUGAAGCGUGGACGCCAGUUCGCGUGGAGCCAUCCUUGAAAUACCACCCUGGCAUGCUUGAGGUUCUAACUCUGGUCCGUAAUCCGGAUCGAGGACAGUGUAUGGUGGGCAGUUUGACUGGGGCGGUCUCCUCCUAAAGAGUAACGGAGGAG